GUUGAUGAUCGGUGCUUGCACCGAGAUUCAACAUGGAACGAGUGGCGGACGGGUGAGUAACACGUGGGUAACCUGCCCUUAAGUGGGGGAUAACAUUUGGAAACAGAUGCUAAUACCGCAUAGAUCCAAGAACCGCAUGGUUCUUGGCUGAAAGAUGGCGUAAGCUAUCGCUUUUGGAUGGACCCGCGGCGUAUUAGCUAGUUGGUGAGGUAAUGGCUCACCAAGGCGAUGAUACGUAGCCGAACUGAGAGGUUGAUCGGCCACAUUGGGACUGAGACACGGCCCAAACUCCUACGGGAGGCAGCAGUAGGGAAUCUUCCACAAUGGACGCAAGUCUGAUGGAGCAACGCCGCGUGAGUGAAGAAGGCUUUCGGGUCGUAAAACUCUGUUGUUGGAGAAGAAUGGUCGGCAGAGUAACUGUUGUCGGCGUGACGGUAUCCAACCAGAAAGCCACGGCUAACUACGUGCCAGCAGCCGCGGUAAUACGUAGGUGGCAAGCGUUAUCCGGAUUUAUUGGGCGUAAAGCGAGCGCAGGCGGUUUUUUAAGUCUGAUGUGAAAGCCCUCGGCUUAACCGAGGAAGCGCAUCGGAAACUGGGAAACUUGAGUGCAGAAGAGGACAGUGGAACUCCAUGUGUAGCGGUGAAAUGCGUAGAUAUAUGGAAGAACACCAGUGGCGAAGGCGGCUGUCUGGUCUGUAACUGACGCUGAGGCUCGAAAGCAUGGGUAGCGAACAGGAUUAGAUACCCUGGUAGUCCAUGCCGUAAACGAUGAAUGCUAGGUGUUUGGAAGGUUUCCGCCCUUCAGUGCCGCAGCUAACGCAUUAAGCAUUCCGCC
This 835-nucleotide ribosomal RNA is filed under the name Lacticaseibacillus casei. Its description in RNAcentral is "bacterial SSU rRNA". It matches the Rfam family "Bacterial small subunit ribosomal RNA", at positions 66 to 873 of the family's 1533-position model. Lineage: Bacteria; Bacillati; Bacillota; Bacilli; Lactobacillales; Lactobacillaceae. The record is from RNAcentral.